This 1871-nucleotide unclassified non-coding RNA is filed under the name Sipha flava (yellow sugarcane aphid). RNAcentral describes it as "uncharacterized LOC112692234, transcript variant X1". The record is from RNAcentral. Lineage: Eukaryota; Metazoa; Arthropoda; Insecta; Hemiptera; Aphididae.
CACACGACACGUAAAAAACAGCGGCCAACGAGCGUUUUUAUCUGUACACGCGUAGUCGACCCAUUAUUUCCCGUCAACCGUUUUCGCUUCCGAUCAACUUGUUCUGCUCGGCUACCAGUAGUGCGUUCCCGUAAGGUACACGCGGUACUGUAACACUUUUAUUUUUCACCUUUAAGUACCUUUUCAUUCCGUCACUUCCGAACUUCGAUCGAACUGGUCGGACCUAACCGAUAGGCUCAGAACUCACCCGUGGUCUUGGCCGAGACACUUCUUCGCCUCCGCUACACACACUUGUCUAUUGAUUUCGGCGCACUUUUUGUUUAUUUUUUAUUCUUGUUUCUUCGUUAUUCGAGAGAGAUUAAGAGAAAGAGAGAGAGAGAGAGAGAGAGAGAGAGAGAGAGCACGAUCGACUAUACGUUGGUACGAUUCGAUCGCGUCCGUCGCUCGGCGUUCUCUUCGGCCAGGACCACCGUCCCAAUGUUCCGCGUUUCCUGCACCACAGACUGGCGAUAUUUCCACGUCUGUUUGUGCCGGGAUCGUACCAUCGCCUGCGUAUUUUUUCUUGUACAAUAACGAAAUCGAACAAACGUGAACCGCACGUCGUGAGCAGCCCGCCGACACGUUGGACAGAAGUCGAAUGCGGUUCGUUAACCGUACGCCAGUUUGUAUGUUUAGUCACUUUUUGGACGAUUCCAAUCGUUUGGUACCGUGGAUCUUAGUUGUGCGACGAGAAAACGAAAUCUGCAAAUAUUGUUCUUUUUAUUGUUCAACAAUACAAAUGACUUCACAGGAUACUGCCGCACAAAAACCACCGGUGAUCUUGGAUCUCCGGACCUCAGAUUUGUCAUUUCACGCACGUUCGUUUUCAGUCUCCUAUGUUCGACUAAAAAUCAAAUCGAUAACCUGUCUACAAAGAUAUUUCACCAUCGAUAAUCUCUCAUCGAUUGGAAAGAAAAUCAUGCGCCCAAUUUAUUCGAUGUUUUAUUUCAUUUUAUUUGUUCACAAGACAACUAUAGGGAACUGUCAGUUAAUUAUACAACGUCAACAGAAGUUCUAAACAUAAAAGAACUAGAUAUCUAAUUUAUUAAAUCAUUUUCAUUUUCAAUACUAAUCAUAAUGGUCGUACUUAGAAAUGUCUCGGGUAUUCGGAAAUUACUCGAUAUCCAGGUACUCGAUGGAAUAAUUAAGAUUUGGGCCUUACCCGGUACCCUGCGUAAAACUGAAUUUUUACUCGACUAACACUCGAUACCCGUUUAUAAUCAAUUUUCUACUCGGAAAUUCUCUAGCUGUACCGUAUAUCCAAGGUUUGAAGGUUAAAAUCAUGUGAUCGUACGCUUGUGUUUGAUCAUUAUGUUUUCACUUAUUGUUUUGAACCAGUCACUAUAUUAUUUUAAAAGGGAUUAAGUUCAAUUUAUGAACAGAUUUUAAUUUAAACUAGCAAACAAAAAACUAUAGUUGGACGUUCUAAAAUCGUUAUCCGCAGAACAUUUACAUUCAUCGUUAUCAAUAUUAUUAUUAAAUCUUUCCCAUAACAACGACUCAGAACCGUUAUCGCAUUCUUACCGUACAAUGAAUCUGAAAACUUUAGAACCCAAAUCGUUCACGGUCGUUACACAUCGCCACACAUGUAUUAUAACGUUGAAGGAUUACAAUACCUAACAGUAUCAAUUGAAUCACCGUCGGACGUUAUCGUACGUUAUGAUCACAACUAAGUUUGUAAAAUUAUUAUUUAUGCACCUUACGCGCUCACAUCACACGCGGCCCACAAAUAUUUAUUAGAAGUAGUUUUUGUAUUAUUUUUAACUAAAUUGUAAAGUUUAACGUUAUUAUAAAUUGUAUUGACCUCAAAUAUAUUACGAUUUUGGUACCUA